RNAcentral lists this ribosomal RNA (541 nucleotides) under Triops granarius. RNAcentral's name for it is "partial 12S ribosomal RNA". The record is from RNAcentral. Lineage: Eukaryota; Metazoa; Arthropoda; Branchiopoda; Notostraca; Triopsidae.
AAGAGUGACGGGCGAUGUGUACACACUUCAGAGCCAAUUUCAAUAAAGAAUUUUAUUCUGAAUUUACUACUAAAUCCACCUUUAUAAUAUAUGUACAUAUAUUAAUCCGUAUAAUUACAAUUUAUUGUAGCUCACUACUCCCAUAUUUAUAAGCUGCACCUUGACCUGAAGUCCUAAUUUAAAAUUACUUAGAUUAUAUUUUCUAAAAAUAAUCUGACAACGGCGGUAUACAAACUGAAUACAAAAAUAUGUGCAUUUAAACGUGGAUUAUCGAUCCAAGAGCAAGCUCCUCUAGUAAGAAUGAAGUACCGCCAAAUUCUUUAGGUUUGAACAUUUUUACUACCCAGGCAACAGUUCAACAGAGAAUAAUAGGGUAUCUAAUCCUAGUUUAUACCCCUAUUUAUAAAGGUAAUGAAUUCCUUAGAAAUUUUUAAUUUAAAAAAAUAAAGAUUUUACCCCUAAUUUGUUACCAAAAAAAUCCCACAAAAAUUAAUAUUUACUUAAUUCCACCAAGCUAUUUCAUUCAGAUCCUUCGUAUAAC